Molecule: ribosomal RNA, 253 nt
Filed under: uncultured bacterium
Lineage: Bacteria
Description: partial 16S ribosomal RNA
Rfam family: Bacterial small subunit ribosomal RNA
Source: RNAcentral
UACGGAGGGUGCAAGCGUUAUCCGGAUUCACUGGGUUUAAAGGGUGCGUAGGCGGGCAGAUAAGUCAGUGGUGAAAUCCCCGAGCUUAACUUGGGAACUGCCAUUGAUACUAUUUGUCUUGAAUGUCGUGGAGGUUAGCGGAAUAUGUCAUGUAGCGGUGAAAUGCUUAGAUAUGACAUAGAACACCCAUUGCGAAGGCAGCUAACUACGCGAAUAUUGACGCUGAGGCGCGAAAGCGUGGGGAUCAAACAGG